This 455-nucleotide non-coding RNA is filed under the name Bos indicus x Bos taurus (hybrid cattle). RNAcentral's name for it is "Eukaryotic large subunit ribosomal RNA". It matches the Rfam family "Eukaryotic large subunit ribosomal RNA", at positions 3006 to 3399 of the family's 3401-position model. Lineage: Eukaryota; Metazoa; Chordata; Mammalia; Artiodactyla; Bovidae. The record is from Rfam by way of RNAcentral.
UGCUGUUGCCAUGGUAACCCCGCUCUGUAGGAGAGGAACCACAGGGUCAGACAUUUGGCAUAUGUGCUUGGCUGAAGAGCCAAUAGGGGGAAGCCACCAUCUGUAGCAUUAUGAUCACUUCUAGGUCAGAAGCCGACCCCGGGUCAAUUGAUAUGGCUGCACUCCGGGAGCCUCAGUCAUCCUAAGCAAGCCUGUCUCCACACCCAGCAUCCCUUGGGGCACAGUGUGCCACACCACACGUUGGGACUGGGGUCUGGUGUGGACAGCCCUUCACCGUGGGACACACAGCAUGGCCAGAAAGGUGGCCACCCCCUGGCCCAUCACACACCAUGUGUUCAUGGGCAACUUGGUGCUAAACCAUCUGUAGCUGACCUGCUUCUAGGUCAGGGUUUCAUACCUAGGACAGCAGCUCCCUCAUUGUGAUCUAUUUAAAGUCAGCCCUUGACACAAGGUUU